AAUGAACGUUGGCGGCGUGGAUUAGGCAUGCAAGUCGAGCGCGAACCCCGCAGGGGGUGAAAGCGGCGAAAGGGAGAGUAACGCGUGGGUAUCUACCCUCGGGACUGGGAUAGCUGCGGGAAACUGCAGGUAAUACCAGAUGACGUCCCCGGACCAAAGGUGUGAUUCCGCCUGAGGAUGAGCCCGCGUCCUAUUAGCUAGUUGGUGGGGUAAUGGCCUACCAAGGCAAUGAUGGGUACUGGGUGUGAGAGCACGACCCAGCUCACUGGGACUGAGACACUGCCCAGACACCUACGGGUGGCUGCAGUCGAGAAUCUUCGGCAAUGGGCGAAAGCCUGACCGAGCGACGCCGCGUGUGGGAUGAAGGCCUUCGGGUUGUAAACCGCUGUCAGAGGGGAGGAAUGGGCGGAGGGUAAUCUCUUCGUUUUGACCUAUCCUCAGAGGAAGUACGGGCUAAGUUCGUGCCAGCCGCCGCUGUAA
Molecule: ribosomal RNA, 480 nt
Filed under: uncultured bacterium
Lineage: Bacteria
Description: partial 16S ribosomal RNA
Rfam family: Bacterial small subunit ribosomal RNA
Source: RNAcentral